This 487-nucleotide ribosomal RNA is filed under the name uncultured bacterium. RNAcentral describes it as "bacterial SSU rRNA". It matches the Rfam family "Bacterial small subunit ribosomal RNA", at positions 28 to 507 of the family's 1533-position model. The record is from RNAcentral.
GAUGAACGCUAGCGGGAGGCUUAACACAUGCAAGUCGAGGGGCAGCAUAGGGUAGCAAUACUCUGAUGGCGACCGGCAAACGGGUGAGUAACGCGUAUGCAACCUACCCUGUACAGGGGGAUAACCCGGAGAAAUUCGGACUAAUAUCCCGUAAUAAUGUCCGGAGGCAUCUUUGGAUAUUUAAAGUUCCGACGGUACGGGAUGGGCAUGCGUAACAUUAGCUGGUUGGUAAGGUAACGGCUUACCAAGGCUAUGAUGUUUAGGGGUCCUGAGAGGGUGGUCCCCCACACUGGUACUGAGACACGGACCAGACUCCUACGGGAGGCAGCAGUGAGGAAUAUUGGUCAAUGGGCGCAAGCCUGAACCAGCCAUCCCGCGUGCAGGAAGACGGCCCUAUGGGUUGUAAACUGCUUUUCCAGGGAGAGAAACUUACGCACGUGUUGCGUGACUGACGGUACCCUGGGAAUAAGCAUCGGCUAACUCCGUG